Molecule: unclassified non-coding RNA, 303 nt
Filed under: uncultured Ascomycota
Lineage: Eukaryota; Fungi; Ascomycota
Description: sequence contains ITS1
Rfam family: 5.8S ribosomal RNA (bases 1-105)
Source: RNAcentral
GAAAUGCGAUAAGUAGUGUGAAUUGCAGAAUUCAGUGAAUCAUCGAAUCUUUGAACGCACAUUGCGCCUCCUGGUAUUCCGGGAGGCAUGCCUGUUCGAGCGUCAUUAAAAACCACUCAAGUGUCUUUUUCACUUGGUAUUGAACAGAGAUGACCCUGUGUUUUCUCGUUUGAAAUCGAAUGGCAGAUAGCUCAAGUAUCUCAGUGUAGUAACUUUAUUCGCUGUGAUGUGUAGUGCUUCUUGCCCUAAACCCCCAUCUUUUAGGUUGACCUCGGAUCAGGUAGGGAUACCCGCUGAACUUAA